This 79-nucleotide non-coding RNA is filed under the name Paenibacillus sp. RNAcentral describes it as "ZTP sequence". It matches the Rfam family "ZMP/ZTP riboswitch aptamer (pfl RNA motif)". Rfam says of the family: Previously known as pfl RNA. ZMP is also known as AICAR. RNAcentral also lists the same sequence under 1 other name. Lineage: Bacteria; Bacillati; Bacillota; Bacilli; Caryophanales; Paenibacillaceae. The record is from RNAcentral.
CUUGGUAUGUGUCACUGGCGUAACGUAGGUAACUACGAGGGAGCACAUAUUUCAUAAGCCGUACGCCUGGGCAAAGUAU